RNAcentral lists this ribosomal RNA (468 nucleotides) under uncultured bacterium. RNAcentral's name for it is "partial 16S ribosomal RNA". It matches the Rfam family "Bacterial small subunit ribosomal RNA", at positions 28 to 507 of the family's 1533-position model. The record is from RNAcentral.
GACGAACGCUGGCGGCGUGCUUAACACAUGCAAGUCGAACGGAGAGGCCCUGCUUUUGUGGGGUGCUCGAGUGGCGAACGGGUGAGUAACACGUGAGUAACCUGCCCUUGACUUUGGGAUAACUUCAGGAAACUGGGGCUAAUACCGGAUAGGAGCUCCUGCUGCAUGGUGGGGGUUGGAAAGUUUCGGCGGUUGGGGAUGGACUCGCGGCUUAUCAGCUUGUUGGUGGGGUAGUGGCUUACCAAGGCUUUGACGGGUAGCCGGCCUGAGAGGGUGACCGGCCACAUUGGGACUGAGAUACGGCCCAGACUCCUAUGGGAGGCAGCAGUGGGGAAUAUUGCACAAUGGGCGGAAGCCUGAUGCAGCAACGCCGCGUGCGGGAUGACGGCCUUCGGGUUGUAAACCGCUUUCGCCUGUGACGAAGCGUGAGUGACGGUAAUGGGUAAAGAAGCACCGGCUAACUACGUG